Long non-coding RNA from Pygocentrus nattereri (red-bellied piranha), 681 nucleotides. RefSeq lists it as uncharacterized. The transcript has 3 exons. The record is from RefSeq and is a predicted model, not a curated record. Lineage: Eukaryota; Metazoa; Chordata; Actinopteri; Characiformes; Serrasalmidae.
UCGCCACGUGAUAUUUCCUCAAAACUAUCAGACCAAUCAAAACAGCUCACAGCUCUAAAACGUCCACUCAGGUCACACAUGGGGCCUCUUUUACUACUGAACAGAUAAGAGAUCAGAACAUUAGAUCUCACCGUCUCUCUGUCUGAACAGCAGCAAUGAUCGGAUUACUUUUCACUCUCUGUCUCUUUGGAACUGUGAAAUCGUCUGACAUCGUUGAUCUUCAAGUACAAACAGUGAGGCGGGGAGACAACACAACAAUAAAAUGUCAUCAAAAUGAAACCAAGCAUGAUUUAUUAACUUGGUAUCAACAGAGUUUAGGAAAGCUGCCUCUGUACAUCGUGAGACGAUUUGAGACUGAAGAACAAAAAGUAAAACACAGAUUUAGUAAGAAAUUUAUAAACAGCCGCUUCACUGUGGAUAAUAAGACAUUUGAUCUCAGCAUUAAUGGAGUCAAAGAAGAAGAUGUAGGAAUAUAUUUCUGUGGAAAAGGAGAGAAAAAUAGUUCAGAGUUUCUAUCUGGAACCCUUUUGCUGUUUGCAGAUGAGAAGACUCCACCUGACCCUGCUAUCAAGAAUUGUUCAGUACAAGCAGUUACUCUGAGCUGUUCAGGAGAUCGCAGUGUGUACUGGAUCAGACACGGAUCAGGAGAAUCUCAUCAUGAUCAUGAACCUAAAUCUACUG